UGGGGAAUAUUGGACAAUGGGGGCAACCCUGAUCCAGCAAUGCCGCGUGUGUGAAGAAGGUCUUCGGAUUGUAAAGCACUUUCGACGGGGACGAUGAUGACGGUACCCGUAGAAGAAGCCCCGGCUAACUUCGUGCCAGCAGCCGCGGUAAUACGAAGGGGGCUAGCGUUGCUCGGAAUAACUGGGCGUAAAGGGCGUGUAGGCGGUUUACACAGUCGGAUGUGAAAUCCCCCGGGCUUAACCUGGGAGCUGCAUUUGAUACGUGUAGACUAGAGUGUGAGAGAGGGUUGUGGAAUUCCCAGUGUAGAGGUGAAAUUCGUAGAUAUUGGGAAGAACACCGGUGGCGAAGGCGGCAACCUGGCUCAUGACUGACGCUGAGGCGCGAAAGCGUGGGGAGCAAACAGGAUUAGAUACCCUGGUAGUCCACGCUGUAAACGAUGUGUGCUAGAUGUUGGGUAACUUUGGUU
Molecule: ribosomal RNA, 467 nt
Filed under: uncultured bacterium
Lineage: Bacteria
Description: partial 16S ribosomal RNA
Rfam family: Bacterial small subunit ribosomal RNA
Source: RNAcentral